This 467-nucleotide ribosomal RNA is filed under the name uncultured bacterium. Its description in RNAcentral is "partial 16S ribosomal RNA". It matches the Rfam family "Bacterial small subunit ribosomal RNA", at positions 28 to 507 of the family's 1533-position model. The record is from RNAcentral.
GACGAACGCUGGCGGCGUGCUUAACACAUGCAAGUCGAACGAUAACGCCCUAGCUUGCUGGGUUUGAUUAGUGGCGAACGGGUGCGUAACACGUUAGCAACCUGCCCUUCACUUUGGUAUAACCUCAGGAAAUCGGGGCUAAUCCCGGAUCUUAUCUCCUGUCGCAUGGCGGGUGUUGGAACGUUUUUCCGUGUAGGAUGGGCUCGCGGCCUAUCCGUUUUUUGGUUGGGUUGUGGCUCACCAAGGCGAUGAAGGGUAGCCGGCCUGAGAGGGGUACCGGCCACAAGGGGACUGAGAGACGGCCCAGACGCCUACGGGAGGCAGCAGUGGGGAAUAUUACACAAUGGGCGAAAGCCGGAUGAAGAGACGCCGCGUGGGGGAUGACGGCCUGCGGGUUGUAAACCGCUUUCAGCAGGGAAGAAGCGAAAGUGACGGUACCGGAAGAAGAAGCACCGGCUAACUACGUG